Molecule: ribosomal RNA, 322 nt
Filed under: uncultured Sandonidae
Lineage: Eukaryota; Cercozoa; Glissomonadida; Viridiraptoridae
Description: SSU rRNA
Rfam family: Eukaryotic small subunit ribosomal RNA (bases 112-322)
Source: RNAcentral
GAUUUCUGGCUUGUCACAUUUUGCCGGCCACGGUUUCGUGUGUUAGUGCUUGAUGUUCUGGCCAUCCUUCCAAUCGCUAUUUGCCUUUCUUCAUUGAUUGGUAAGUGGUAUUGGAUCUUUUACUUUGAAAAAAUUAGAGUGUUUCAAGCAGGCUUUAUGCUAUGAAUACAUUAGCAUGGAAUAAUAAUUUAGGACUUCGGUUCUAUUUUGUUGGUUUCUAGGACUGAAGUAAUGAUUGAUAGGGAUAGUUGGGGGUGCUAGUAUUCAGCGGCCAGAGGUGAAAUUCUCGGAUUCGCUGAAGACUAACUUAUGCGAAAGCAUU